AUGUCUCUAAAUGGGACUAUAGUGUUCCUCAUAGCAAUGAAAUGCUGGCUAAAACUUGCUGCAGGCGUGAGACUUAACAGGCUGUUCAUAAUGACUGACAAGUUCCAGCUGGAACACAGGAAAAGGGCCAAAUAUAAGAUAUUUAACUGUAAAGACCAUUCAGUGACUCGCUGGUAUGUUCUAAUCCGCAUCAAAUAUUCACCAUCUGCUUAAAGUUGUCCAGUGGUGACAGCCAUCUUUAUUCACUUUAUUCAUCAGGAAUGCCUGAGCAUUCCUGCUUUCUUCAUAAGCAUCUACAUAGAACCUCCAGAUCUUUUCUGGGACAGUAAAUGGGCUAACACCACGAUCCUUCAUGCUGUAUAGUCUCAUUGGCCUUUGGUGUCUGUGCUUGCAUUUGAGAUUGAAUUCACU
This 411-nucleotide long non-coding RNA is filed under the name Anser cygnoides (Swan goose). RNAcentral describes it as "lncRNA (ENSACDG00005009549.1)". The record is from RNAcentral. Lineage: Eukaryota; Metazoa; Chordata; Aves; Anseriformes; Anatidae.